AGAGUUUGAUCUUGGCUCAGGACGAACGCUGGCGGCGCGCCUAACACAUGCAAGUCGAACGGAGUUAUUUUCUUCACUCCGAGCUUUUUGCCAGUUAGCCGGAGCGGCAAUCGGUUUUGCCCAGCAUAAAAAGCAAAACCGAUUUAGGCUCAUAAAGUAAGACUAACACAGAGGGCAGAGAGUUGGGAGUGAAGAAAAUAACUUAGUGGCGAACGGGUGAGUAACGCGUGAGUAACCUGCCCUGGAGUGGGGGACAACAGUUGGAAACGACUGCUAAUACCGCAUAAGCCCACGGCCCGGCAUCGGGCUGAGGGAAAAGGAUUUAUUCGCUUCAGGAUGGACUCGCGUCCAGUUAGCUAGUUGGUGAGGUAACGGCCCACCAAGGCGACGAUUGGUAGCCGGACUGAGAGGUUGAACGGCCACAUUGGGACUGAGACACGGCCCAGACUCCUACGGGAGGCAGCAGUGGGGGAUAUUGCACAAUGGGGGAAACCCUGAUGCAGCGACGCCGCGUGGAGGAAGAAGGUUUUCGGAUUGUAAACUCCUGUCGUUAGGGACGAUAAUGACGGUACCUAACAAGAAAGCACCGGCUAACUACGUGCCAGCAGCCGCGGUAAAACGUAGGGUGCAAGCGUUGUCCGGAAUUACUGGGUGUAAAGGGAGCGCAGGCGGACCGGCAAGUUGGAAGUGAAAACUAUGGGCUCAACCCAUAAAUUGCUUUCAAAACUGCUGGCCUUGAGUAGUGCAGAGGUAGGUGGAAUCCCCGGUGUAGCGGUGGAAUGCGUAGAUAUCGGGAGGAACACCAGUGGCGAAGGCGACCUACUGGGCACCAACUGACGCUGAGGCUCGAAAGCAUGGGUAGCAAACAGGAUUAGAUACCCUGGUAGUCCAUGCCGUAAACGAUGAUUACUAGGUGUUGGAGGAUUGACCCCUUCAGUGCCGCAGUUAACACAAUAAGUAAUCCACCUGGGGA
Molecule: ribosomal RNA, 973 nt
Filed under: uncultured bacterium
Lineage: Bacteria
Description: bacterial SSU rRNA
Rfam family: Bacterial small subunit ribosomal RNA
Source: RNAcentral